RNAcentral lists this ribosomal RNA (242 nucleotides) under uncultured Bacteroidota bacterium. RNAcentral's name for it is "uncultured Bacteroidetes bacterium partial 16S ribosomal RNA". It matches the Rfam family "Bacterial small subunit ribosomal RNA", at positions 796 to 1041 of the family's 1533-position model. Lineage: Bacteria; Pseudomonadati; Bacteroidota. The record is from RNAcentral.
CACGCCGUAAACGAUGAUCACUCGCUGUUUGCGAUAUACAGUAAGCGGCUAAGCGAAAGCGUUAAGUGAUCCACCUGGGGAGUACGAUCGCAAGGUUGAAACUCAAAGGAAUUGACGGGGGCCCGCACAAGCGGAGGAACAUGUGGUUUAAUUCGAUGAUACGCGAGGAACCUUACCCGGGCUCGAACGGUGCAUGAAUGUUCAAGAGAUUGGAUAGUCCUUCGGGACAUGUAUCGAGGUGC